UUAAAGAUCUGUGAAACAAAGAAAGCAAGAGAUCUAAGUUAUGAGUAAGGAAAAAAGAAAAGUCCAUGGAAGGUUGAAAGGUUCCUGGAAGAUUUGUUUCUUGGCGGUUAACGGUCAAUCAUUCUUGGUUAUAGACGGUUAUCUGUUAAAUCCUUUGUGGCG
RNAcentral lists this ribosomal RNA (162 nucleotides) under Alexandrium catenella. RNAcentral's name for it is "LSU rRNA". The record is from RNAcentral. Lineage: Eukaryota; Dinophyceae; Gonyaulacales; Pyrocystaceae.